Heterocephalus glaber (naked mole-rat) is the source of this 3111-nucleotide long non-coding RNA. NCBI's taxonomy places the organism in Eukaryota, Metazoa, Chordata, Mammalia, Rodentia, Bathyergidae. The record is from Ensembl.
CUCUGUUGAAUCUAGGAGUCUGGAGAAAAAAAUCAGUGUACCCUGUAGAAGCAGUCGUGUAAUUUUGGAGGUCAGAAUUGAGGCACAGGCCGACUUCUAUUUCUGGCAAGCUAAAGUCAAACAGAGGUAAAUGUUUGUGGUGACCUUUUCCUUUACAGAAUUUAACUUUACCUAGUUAUCAGGAUCAUGGGAAUAAAAAUCCCUUGUGCAGAGUUUGAUCUCCGGUACUUUUAAAAAAAAAAUCCCUUGGGCAAAAGACAGUGUCUGUAGAAGGCAGUACUUCCUGACCUCCAGAUUUUGACAAUGUGACUCUGAAGUCAACAGUCCAAAGAUCUUUAGUCAACUUCUAGCAUUCCCAGCUCUGUGGUUCAAACAAACUAGGAGCCAUUUCUUCACUGAAAUGUGGCUAAUCCAAUAUUCCAACAUUUUAAGUUAUUUUUGGUUUAAUCAGUUUCUUUCCCUGUUGCCAGGAAUACUGAUUCUCCCUUCAAAGGUGUCCAUUACAGAAGUAAUGCUAUAAAUUGAAGUUACAAUUUGAAAUUUCUACCUUAUUCAUUACUAGUAUUUCUCAUCUUUGUAUCUGAUCAUUUGUGCUUUACAGGCACUGCUUUUGUUUUAUGGGCCCUUGUUAGCUUUUAAUGGAUGUGAAUUCUUCUGUUGUUUUCAAAGCAUACAUACUUUGAUGUCAUUUUCCUACUUUUCUAUUAAAAGGAAUUUCACCCAGGAUGAAUUCCUGCCCAAAUGUCGAUUUUAUUGGCUGUCUCCCAUGACAUUUCUUCAUGUUUUGCCACGUGAGUUGUAAUUUUUAAGGGUGAAAAUAAAAAAAAGAUCAAGGUUAGUUUGGGAGCAUCAAAAUAAUGAAGAGACCCCCGUUCAUUUUGUCUUACUUUGCUAAAGAACCAAAUUUGAGGAAGUCUACAGCAGGGUGAAGUAAAAGGAUUGUCAGAAGUUUCCUUAGAGAAGGGCAGAGAAAAAGAGGAAGCAGUGGGAGAAGAUAAGCUCUGGAAAUCCAGUCUGGUUUGUGUGAGGAAAUCACCUUUUUCAAAUGGGAAGCGGAUCAGGAGAUGGAGGGAGAGGGAGAGAGGAGGAAAGGGGAUUGAGGAAAGGAAGGAAGAUGUGUAACUGCACCAGCUCUGUACAAGGAGUGUAAACAUCAUGUGCUGCAAACAUGGAGUAAUGGAAAAACUAAAACAUCACGGAGACGCAGCUGCACAGGGAAAGUGUUACAUCCACGUAGUCCUCAUCUUGAGAGCAGUCACGUGUGAUGUAUUGUUAAUCUCGAGUGGGAGGAAACCCACAACUAAUCUCAGAAAGAGCAAAUGGGUGAACCUGCAUAGAAGAAAUAUUUCCAAAAAAAAGAAACAACGAGUUCAAAUAGCAAAGAAAAUAAGGUACUGGCACUGAAUGAAAUAUGAAUAGAUGAUGUUCUUCCAUUAAGCUUAAAGACCAGGGGUUGAGAUUUGGUGGGGGAAGAGGCUGUCUACAAGAGACACUGCACAUCAGUAAAGAAAGACAGAAAGUGAAGGACCUACAAAGAUCAAGUUUAUGCCAAUUAUAAAUGGGAAAAUGUAUGAGAAUGUGUGACACAAACAUGUAAAUAUCAAGCCACUUAACAACUAGCCAAAUACAUAGAGAAAACCAUUGGGAAUUUGAUAAAUCUUAUAAAAUAUGAUUCUGACUAAAGAUUCCAGUGCUUCUUGGCCCGAAUCAGACAGAAUGAAAGCAACCAAGGACUGAGAAAGACAAUCUUACGUCACUUAAAGAUCAACAUGCCGGCGUCCUGUACUCUGAACUUUCUGAUGCUGAUACCGUCUUGAUUUCUUAAUCUUUCCAGAACACUUCAUCUAAGGGUUAACGUAUCUACAUCACUACCCCUGUGGGAAGACAACCAUGACAUGAUGCAUUCAGUUCCACAGAGGUUAAAAUGUAGGAAACAAGGGAUUAUUUUAGAAUCAAAGUUAUGGCUUUUUUUUAUGUGUCAAUAAAAUAUUUGCACAAGAAUGUCAUAUACUUGACUACAAAGUAUGAAUUGUGAUAAAAGUCUAUUUUAAUAAAUAAAUAAAAGUCUGUUUAAAGAAGAAAUCUGAUCAACAAAAUCUCAAAGUCUUGAAAGACUCAAAGGUUAAGAAAGACAUUCCUGGAUGACCCUUAUGUCAAAGAUAAAAUUGAAAAACUAAACAUUUUAGAAAAGAAUGAACUGAAGAACAAUUUUCACCAAGUCUUAUAGAACAGAGAACUUUUCAGUGAAACUUCUAGCCUUUAAAUGCUUUCAUUAUUAAGAACAAAAGAAAGAUUAAAAGUAAAGGGAUUCAGAAUUUAUCUGUAAAAAUUAAAUCAAGGACCACAAAUAAACCGAUGUCAGCAGAAGAGUCAAUAAAGAAAGUUCAACAUAUUAGUCAAGAUACAUAGAGAAACAGAAUAUUAAAUAUAAUGUAGGACUUCAGUCUGAGGUCAGUGGAAAACCUUUAAAAAGUUUGAAAUCCUAAGAGUUACAUAACGAAUGUAGACGUUUCUGGCAACAUAAAAAUUAAAAUUAGAUUUAACAAAAUCAACACAAAAGCAACAGACAGGAAAUAAAUCAUCAUUUUAUAUAAAUGACAGACACAUGGUCAGUGUGUAAAAUAUGCAAUAAUUCUUAAAUGACAAAAUGGAAGGGCACACAAAGAGAAAAAACUUCAGCAAGGCAAAUAAAAUUGAACAAGAACAUUUGAAAAAAUGUUCAAACACACUAGCAGCCAAGAGAAAACAAAUGAAAUAGCAGUAACUCUUUGACUGAUUGAUUGACUUAUUAUUUUUAUUGUUUUGAGAAGAGUCUUGCGCUAUAGUUCAGGCUGGCCUUGAACUCAUAGUGAUCCUCCUGCCUCAGCCUCCCUAGGAUUACAGGCAUGUGCCACCACACCCAGCCUUCAAUUUAUGAGAUUAAUAAAAAUUGAGACAUAACACUUGUCUUAGCAGAGGGUAAAGAUUUACAAUAAGCACUAAAAAUGAAGAUUUUAGAAAAUAUUUUCAAAUUACCCGUAUACCUAUCUAGAAAUGCAGUUAAACUCUACUAAAAUAUUUUGGCUUAAACAAUGGACUUGAUAUUAGGUAAGCCAUGACAGUAACAAGUUG